RNAcentral lists this ribosomal RNA (489 nucleotides) under uncultured bacterium. RNAcentral describes it as "bacterial SSU rRNA". It matches the Rfam family "Bacterial small subunit ribosomal RNA", at positions 28 to 513 of the family's 1533-position model. The record is from RNAcentral.
GAUGAACGCUAGCGGCAGGCUUAAUACAUGCAAGUCGUGGGGCAGCAGGGGUAGCAAUACCCGCUGGCGACCGGCAAACGGGUGCGGAACACGUACGCAACCUUCCUUUAACUGGAGAAUAGCCCCUCGAAAGAGGGAUUAAUACUCCGUAACAUAUACAUGUGGCAUCACAAGUAUAUUAUAGCUCCGGCGGUUAAAGAUGGGCGUGCGCCUGAUUAGAUAGUUGGCGGGGAACGGCCCACCAAGUCUGCGAUCAGUAACUGGUGUGAGAGCACGACCAGUCACACGGGCACUGAGACACGGGCCCGACUCCUACGGGAGGCAGCAGUAAGGAAUAUUGGUCAAUGGACGCAAGUCUGAACCAGCCAUGCCGCGUGGAGGAUUAAGGCCCUCUGGGUUGUAAACUCCUUUUAUCUGGGAAGAAAUGCCAUUUUUCUAAAUGGUUUGACGGUACCAGAGGAAUAAGCACCGGCUAACUCCGUGCCAGCA